UGCGUAGGUGGCGCCGUAAGUGGGGUGUGAAAUCUCGGGGCUUAACUCCGAAACUGCAUUCCAUACUGCGGUGCUUGAGGACUGGAGAGGAGACUGGAAUUCAUGGUGUAGCAGUGAAAUGCGUAGAGAUCAUGAGGAAGACCAGUGGCGAAGGCGGGUCUCUGGACAGUUCCUGACACUGAGGCACGAAGGCCAGGGGAGCAAACG
RNAcentral lists this ribosomal RNA (207 nucleotides) under uncultured bacterium. RNAcentral describes it as "partial 16S ribosomal RNA". It matches the Rfam family "Bacterial small subunit ribosomal RNA", at positions 568 to 774 of the family's 1533-position model. The record is from RNAcentral.